CCGCUCAGAUUGAACGCUGGCGGCAGGCUUAACACAUGCAAGUCGAGCGGGGGAAGGUAGCUUGCUACCGGACCUAGCGGCGGACGGGUGAGUAAUGCUUAGGAAUCUGCCUAUUAGUGGGGGACAACAUCUCGAAAGGGAUGCUAAUACCGCAUACGUCCUACGGGAGAAAGCAGGGGAUCUUCGGACCUUGCGCUAAUAGAUGAGCCUAAGUCGGAUUAGCUAGUUGGUGGGGUAAAGGCCUACCAAGGCGACGAUCUGUAGCGGGUCUGAGAGGAUGAUCCGCCACACUGGGACUGAGACACGGCCCAGACUCCUACGGGAGGCAGCAGUGGGGAAUAUUGGACAAUGGGCGCAAGCCUGAUCCAGCCAUGCCGCGUGUGUGAAGAAGGCCUUAUGGUUGUAAAGCACUUUAAGCGAGGAGGAGGCUACUUUAGAUAAUACCUAGAGAUAGUGGACGUUACUCGCAGAAUAAGCACCGGCUAACUCUGUGCCAGCAGCCGCGGUAAUACAGAGGGUGCAAGCGUUAAUCGGAUUUACUGGGCGUAAAGCGCGCGUAGGCGGCUAAUUAAGUCAAAUGUGAAAUCCCCGAGCUUAACUUGGGAAUUGCAUUCGAUACUGGUUAGCUAGAGUGUGGGAGAGGAUGGUAGAAUUCCAGGUGUAGCGGUGAAAUGCGUAGAGAUCUGGAGGAAUACCGAUGGCGAAGGCAGCCAUCUGGCCUAACACUGACGCUG
This 734-nucleotide ribosomal RNA is filed under the name Acinetobacter baumannii. RNAcentral's name for it is "bacterial SSU rRNA". It matches the Rfam family "Bacterial small subunit ribosomal RNA", at positions 20 to 748 of the family's 1533-position model. The record is from RNAcentral. Lineage: Bacteria; Pseudomonadati; Pseudomonadota; Gammaproteobacteria; Moraxellales; Moraxellaceae.